UUGACAUCCAGCGAACUUGGCAGAGAUGCCUUGGUGCCUUCGGGAACGCUGAGACAGGUGCUGCAUGGCUGUCGUCAGCUCGUGUUGUGAAAUGUUGGGUUAAGUCCGCAACGAGCGCAACCCUUAUCCUUUGUUGCCAGCGAUUCGGUCGGGAACUCAAAGGAGACUGCCGGUGAUAAACCGGAGGAAGGUGGGGAUGACGUCAAGUCAUCAUGGCCCUUACGAGUAGGGCUACACACGUGCUACAAUGGCGCAUACAAAGAGAAGCGACCUCGCGAGAGCAAGCGGACCUCAUAAAGUGCGUCGUAGUCCGGAUCGGAGUCUGCAACUCGACUCCGUGAAGUCGGAAUCGCUAGUAAUCGUGGAUCAGAAUGCCACGGUGAAUACGUUCCCGGGCCUUGUACACACCGCCCGUUACACCAUGGGAGUGGGUUGCAAAAGAAGUAGGUAGCUUAACCUUCGGGAGGGCGCUUACCACUUUGUGAUUCAUGACUGGGGUGAAGUCGUAACAAGGUAGGCGUAGCGAG
RNAcentral lists this ribosomal RNA (527 nucleotides) under uncultured bacterium. RNAcentral's name for it is "bacterial SSU rRNA". It matches the Rfam family "Bacterial small subunit ribosomal RNA", at positions 981 to 1509 of the family's 1533-position model. The record is from RNAcentral.